This 769-nucleotide unclassified non-coding RNA is filed under the name Hevea brasiliensis (rubber tree). Lineage: Eukaryota; Viridiplantae; Streptophyta; Magnoliopsida; Malpighiales; Euphorbiaceae. The record is from RNAcentral.
AGCUAUUCCUAAAUCAAUGGUUGUAUGACCAAGUUUUUCUUUCGAGAAUGCCAUGCAUUGUCGGAGUGAAACCCUGGAUUGCAUCAGAUCGUUGGGUAUGCAAGAAAAAACAUCUUGGUAUAUCAUGGUAUUUGUCCUAGCAGUUGCCAUCCAAAUAUCCUUAUACGUCGGAUCAAUCACAGGGUCCUUAAUUUGACCAACCUCGCCUGAACGAAGACCAAGGUGCUCAGACCAUAGAGAAAGGCGAAGAGUUAAUGCAAAUUUUCCCGCCUUCCUUGGCUUGCCUCCCAUGAAUGAAUCAACGAACUCCUUGUCCUCGAUAAGUACACCAAUCUCGGAGUCUCUUGAACCAAGCAAGCUUCGGUCAUUUAUAUUUCCAGAUCCAAUCAAGGCUGCAUGGUCAUCAACUAUCAUGAUCUUGCUAUGCACAUAGAUCUGGCUAGUUGCAAUAGGACCACCAUCAAAGAGCCUUCCAUAAGCUCUGAGACCAUAAAAUGAUAUAUAGUCGUGCAUUCUAGAGCCCAUGAGGUCAUUAAGAUUAUGCAAUAUUGAAUUAGAUCCCCUGCAUAUUGUUCGAUAUUGCCAAUGCAUAAUAGCUCUAACUGAAGCAGCACCACUAUCAUCCAAACCACCCUGGAAGCCAGGAAGAAGUGGAAUCACAAUGAUUACCCUGAAGGACUUUUUUUCAUUAUAUGCUCGCAUAAUACGCCUGUACAGUGCUUCUAGAACACGAUUUUUUAUAAUAUCAUCUCCAGAUAGACCAGAAAUG